RNAcentral lists this long non-coding RNA (921 nucleotides) under Helianthus annuus (common sunflower). Its description in RNAcentral is "hypothetical non coding rna". Lineage: Eukaryota; Viridiplantae; Streptophyta; Magnoliopsida; Asterales; Asteraceae. The record is from RNAcentral.
GUUUGAUAUAUAUGACAUAUUUAAAGGUUGAUUGUCGUGCUAAUGAACAAAUAUUGUAUUUACUUGAAAUAUAAAACUUAUUUUGCGUUGUUGUGCAUGAUUUUGACUUGUAAUGUAUUAGGUUGAACGUAUUUUGAAUAUGUUCUUUUGAAGUAUUGAAUAAUAUUUUAGAAUACUGAAUUUUGAGAGCUAUGUAUUAAUUUUUAUUUUUAAAAUCGAGUCAAACCAAGCCGAGCCGUGCCAGCUCGGUUUAAAACCAAGCCGAGCCCGAGCUUAGACUUUCAGCUCGGUUUCAAAUCUGUGCCGAGCUGAGCCAGCUCGGUUUAUAAUCGAGCCGAGCCCGAGCUUGCCCUAGCUCGGCUCGGUUCAUGAACAGCCCUAAACUAUAUAGUAAUAUUGCGUUUUUUAUAUUUUACCAAGACUCGCGUUAACUUGUUGACCCGAACCGAAUCUGACCCGUUGACCAGGUUUGACCAUGUUGACUCGCUUUGACCGAGUUUGACUUGUUGACCCGAACCUGAGUCGAGACCCGAAUCCCAAACUGAAAAACCGAGUCCCCCUUGAUCCAUGUAAACCCAAGCCAACCCGACCCAACCCAAACCGUCCACUACCGGCCUGGAGCCGCCGGCUGCGGCGUCGCACCACCACCCUGCCCCCCUCUGGCGGCUCCCCUCUGCUGCCGUCAUCCCCACUUCAGCCACCUCGACAUCACCACGCCGGCCACCACCAUUACCGACAACCCAAACACCACUAAAAAGAAAAAAAAAACAAAAGAAGAAGCUUUAAGUGAGCCAGAUCUAAACAGAUCUAAGCUUAGAAAGUGGAGGAGAUUAACUUACCCGCGACGAACUCAUGAGACAGGCUACCAGAGCUCGAAAUCGCGACCUCUGUUGCUCGGGGUACGCCUUGGUUCUGCUGUGA